UGAAAGUCUGAAACCUAGCUUCCCUGUGCGUCGGCGGCGUGGUGUUGGGGCAGUGGGCAGUACGCCAGCACCGCAGCAGCGCUGCGGCGGCCGGCGGGGACAGCGAUCGUCGCCCAGAGGGCGGAGGCGACCGGCGUGGGCGGCUGCCGGCUGGGCGCGUUUCGGCGUGCUGCCCUCUCACUCUCCGACUCCAAUCUCCAUCUCUCUCAACCUACAAGGCUUACAACCUGGAGCAAAAGAUUUGCCAUUUUCAUUAAUUAAGAAGAAGGUUUAGACAUAAGCCGCAAAGCGGAAAAAAGAAAAGGUCUACUCUCGCGACAUAAGUAGGCUCAAAUGCUUGGCUCCAGCAAGCGCCCAGAGGCGGGCUUCCUCCUUGAUUCUGCUGACGACGAUCGUUGUUGGAGCGGCCAUGUUGCGAAAAAUUCUUGCAUUUCGUUCCUUCCAAAUUUCCCAUGAAACCAGCAUCACAACCGAAGCAAGGGCCUUCCUGUGUUGGUCUCCCGCGCCCACAGCCUUGAUAGCUCUAACCGAAUCCUCAUUCCGCCAAGUCAGUAGUGUGUAGUGGUGAAUGCCAAGCCAGACGGUGAUCUCAUUCCAGACUCUACCUGAGAAUCGACACUGAAAAAACAGGUGGGCUGCAGACUCUUGCACUUGUUUGCAGAGGGGGCAAAGGCCACAGUUAGGCCAUCCCCUUCGCGUCAGUCGAUCUGCUGUCCAAACACGGUUUUGAAGGACUAACCAGGCAAAGAAUUUGCACUUCGGAGGGGCCCACAUCUUCCAAAUCGUGGCAUUGUUGGUGCUGUAUGUUCAGCUUUCAUCAGUUGGUUUGCAGAAUUUACUGAGACUUGGGCUGCCACUGUUGAUUGACAGUUGAGAUAUGAAGAGAGAUAAUCCCAUAGUGUCUCCAUUUCGGAAGCAUGAAGAAGCAAAGGUGCAAAAAAUAGGACCGUCGUCAUCACCGUCUGCUAAUGCUCUAGUAGAAGGGCACACUCGGGAAGAGGCAAGGGCUGCUCAAUAACAAGUUGUUGGAGUUGGCGACAGAUUCGACGAAGGAAGUGCCGAAGUGGACAUCAAACUCCUACUCCACCUCCCUGUGCAGCGGAAAGAAGUGGAAAUCAAACUACUGUGAUGCGGCUAUUUUUUGUUCCUUCUGUGCAGAGAAGGACGAAUGGAGGUCAGAGGGACCUGAUGUCUUGCGUGCCUGCUGUUGGCUGCUAUUCCAGUAGCUGCAAUAAACACCAUGAAGGAUGUACAAAGUCUCUAGCAGUCAAACAAGG
Molecule: long non-coding RNA, 1277 nt
Organism: Triticum aestivum (bread wheat)
Lineage: Eukaryota; Viridiplantae; Streptophyta; Magnoliopsida; Poales; Poaceae
Exons: 3
Source: RefSeq, a predicted model, not a curated record